Molecule: unclassified non-coding RNA, 370 nt
Filed under: soil metagenome
Description: partial contains 5.8S ribosomal RNA, internal transcribed spacer 2, and large subunit ribosomal RNA
Rfam family: 5.8S ribosomal RNA (bases 1-120)
Source: RNAcentral
GAUGAAGAACGUAGUGAAAUGCGAUAAGUAAUGUGAAUUGCAGAAUUCAGUGAACCAUCGAAUCUUUGAACGCACAUUGCGCCCGGCAGUAAUCUGCCGGGCAUGCCUGUCCGAGCGUCAUUUCUACCCUCGAGCGUGUCCAGCAUCUAGGUGCUGGGCCUCGCCCGGCGUUGGAGCACUACGGGAAGCCCUGUGCUGUCCCCCGUAGGCCCCGAAAUGAAGUGGCGGUCCUGCCGCGGCGCCCCCUGCGUAGUAUAACAGCUCGCUUCGGGACCCGGUGGAGGCCUGCCGUCAAACCUAUACUCUCUAAGUUUGACCUCGGAUCAGGUAGGGUUACCCGCUGAACUUAAGCAUAUCAAUAAGCGGAGGA